GACGGGUAUCCGGCCUGAGAGGGUGAACGGACACACUGGAACUGAGACACGGUCCAGACUCCUACGGGAGGCAGCAGUAGGGAAUAUUGCUCAAUGGGGGAAACCCUGAAGCAGCAACGCCGCGUGGAGGAUGAAGGUUUUAGGAUUGUAAACUCCUUUUGUUAGAGAAGAUUAUGACGGUAUCUAACGAAUAAGCACCGGCUAACUCCGUGCCAGCAGCCGCGGUAAUACGGAGGGUGCAAGCGUUACUCGGAAUCACUGGGCGCAAAGAGUGCGCAGGCGGGAUAGCAAGUCAGAUGUGAAAUGCUAUGGCUUAACCAUAGAACUGCAUUUGAAACUGUUAUUCUA
This 348-nucleotide ribosomal RNA is filed under the name uncultured Helicobacter sp. RNAcentral's name for it is "bacterial SSU rRNA". It matches the Rfam family "Bacterial small subunit ribosomal RNA", at positions 278 to 643 of the family's 1533-position model. Lineage: Bacteria; Pseudomonadati; Campylobacterota; Epsilonproteobacteria; Campylobacterales; Helicobacteraceae. The record is from RNAcentral.